Molecule: ribosomal RNA, 443 nt
Filed under: uncultured bacterium
Lineage: Bacteria
Description: partial 16S ribosomal RNA
Rfam family: Bacterial small subunit ribosomal RNA
Source: RNAcentral
CCUACGGGUGGCAGCAGUGGGGAAUAUUGGGCAAUGGAGGAAACUCUGACCCAGCAACGCCGCGUGAAUGAUGAAGGUCUUCGGAUUGUAAAGUUCUUUUCUAAGGGAAGAAGAAAGUGACGGUACCUUAGGAAUAAGCCUCGGCUAACUAAGUGACAGCAGCCGCGGUAAUACGUAGGAGGCGAGCGUUAUCCGGAAUGACUGGGCGUAAAGGGUGCGUAGGUGGUUUGGCAAGUUAGUAGCGUAACUCCAAGGCUCAACCUUGGAACUACUACUAAAACUGAUGGACUUGAGUGCAGGGGAGGCAACCGGAAUUGCUAGUGUAGCGGUGGAAUGCGUAGAUAUUAGGAGGAACACCAGUGGCGAAGGCAGGUUGCUGGACUGUAACUGACACUGAGGCACGAAAGCGUGGGGAGCAAACAGGAUUAGAGACCCUAGUAGUC